Molecule: ribosomal RNA, 503 nt
Filed under: uncultured bacterium
Lineage: Bacteria
Description: partial 16S ribosomal RNA
Rfam family: Bacterial small subunit ribosomal RNA
Source: RNAcentral
AUUGAACGCUGGCGGCAGGCUUAACACAUGCAAGUCGAGCGGAGUGAUUGUGCUUGCACUAUCACUUAGCGGCGGACGGGCGAGUAAUGCUUAGGAGUCUGCCUAUUAGUGGGGGACAACAUCUCGAAAGGGAUGCUAAUACCGCAUACGGCCUACGAGAGAAAGCAGGGGAUCACUAGAGACCUUGCGCCAAUAGAUGAGCCUAAGUCGGAUUAGCUAGUGGGUGGGGUAAAGGCCUACCAAGGCGACGAUCUGUAGCGGGUCUGAGAGGAUGAUCCGCCACACUGGGCCUGAGACACGGCCCAGACUCCUACGGGAGGCAGCAGUGGGGAAUAUUGGACAAUGGGGGGAACCCUGAUCCAGCCAUGCCGCGUGUGUGAAGAAGGCCUUAUGGUUGUAAAGCACUUUAAGCGAGGAGGAGGCUCUUUUGGUUAAUACCCAAGAUGAGUGGACGUUACUCGCAGAAUAAGCACCGGCUAACUCUGUGCCAGCCGCCGCGGUAA